GGACCGAUGGCGAAGUUGGCUAACGCGGCGAUCUGCAAAAUCGUCAAUCGCAGGUUCGAUUCCUGCUCGGUCCU
Molecule: transfer RNA, 74 nt
Filed under: Paenibacillus allorhizosphaerae
Lineage: Bacteria; Bacillati; Bacillota; Bacilli; Caryophanales; Paenibacillaceae
Description: Paenibacillus sp. JJ-447 tRNA-Cys
Rfam family: tRNA
About the family: Transfer RNA (tRNA) molecules are approximately 80 nucleotides in length. Their secondary structure includes four short double-helical elements and three loops (D, anti-codon, and T loops). Further hydrogen bonds mediate the characteristic L-shaped molecular structure. tRNAs have two regions of fundamental functional importance: the anti-codon, which is responsible for specific mRNA codon recognition, and the 3' end, to which the tRNAs corresponding amino acid is attached (by aminoacyl-tRNA synthetases). tRNAs cope with the degeneracy of the genetic code in two manners: having more than one tRNA (with a specific anti-codon) for a particular amino acid; and 'wobble' base-pairing, i.e. permitting non-standard base-pairing at the 3rd anti-codon position.
Source: RNAcentral